Erigeron canadensis is the source of this 295-nucleotide long non-coding RNA. RefSeq lists it as uncharacterized. The transcript has 3 exons. The record is from RefSeq and is a predicted model, not a curated record. NCBI's taxonomy places the organism in Eukaryota, Viridiplantae, Streptophyta, Magnoliopsida, Asterales, Asteraceae.
UCAGGUGCAAAAGAUUCAGAUAUUGACUCCUAACAUUGGAGUAGUAUAUAGUGGGAUGGGGCCUGAUUCGCGAGUCUUGGUCAGAAAGAGUAGGAAGCAGGCAGAGCAGUACAAUUACUCUACAAAAAAGCCGAAUCACUGAAGAACGACUUGAUAGCAAAUUGGAUAGGCAUCGAUCAAACUUUAUUUACCGGUUUUGAAUUCUAUAUAAUUUAAUGGUUGUAAACUUAUAUGGUUAUUAGAAUUUUAAAAUAACUUGUGGUUGUAUGAAACACAUUGUUUUGAUAUAUAUGAA